Sander lucioperca (pikeperch) is the source of this 300-nucleotide long non-coding RNA. RefSeq lists it as uncharacterized. The transcript has 3 exons. NCBI's taxonomy places the organism in Eukaryota, Metazoa, Chordata, Actinopteri, Perciformes, Percidae. The record is from RefSeq and is a predicted model, not a curated record.
CAUUUCAAGCACCGAAACAAGUUGUACAACACAUCAUAAGUUAAGUUUUGUUUUCAAAAGAGAUUUGAGGAUUUCAAAAAGCCAACAUCAACGUUUCAGCUUUAGCGCAAAGUUAUCUCUUUACACGUUGAUCUAGAAAAAAUGUGGCGUCACUAUACGGAAAGCUGACUUUGUUCUAAACAUUUUGAUGUGAAACACAUGGGGAUCAGUUAUAUGCAAAUACCUUAAAAAGGUAAAUUUAAGAAGAUAUGUGAAAAUGCCCUUAGACCUCAGAGGGUAAAUAAAUUUAUUUUUUAGCCC